Molecule: unclassified non-coding RNA, 335 nt
Filed under: Hevea brasiliensis (rubber tree)
Lineage: Eukaryota; Viridiplantae; Streptophyta; Magnoliopsida; Malpighiales; Euphorbiaceae
Source: RNAcentral
GCAAUAUUCGUUAAUGCUGAGAGGAGAAGGCUAAUUAAUUUGAUUCCGGACAGCGUGAGGAAAGCAUGGAAAGAUUGGGAAAUAGAAGUGCUGAUUCUAGGAAGCCUCAUCUUACAGAUUAUGCUUAUUCUUUUUGGCAAACGCAGGCAGUGUGUGGCGAAUUUAUGGAUCAGAAUGACUCUAUGGACAUCUUACUUACUAGCAGAUUGGAUUGCUAUUGUUUCAUUAGGUAUCAUUGCUCAGAAUACGUUGGAUAAAUGCAAACAAACAAGUGAUGAUGACAAUUUCAAGGAUGAAUUGAUGUCGUUCUGGGCGCCAUUUAUGCUGCUUCAUCU